This 642-nucleotide ribosomal RNA is filed under the name Triticum aestivum (bread wheat). RNAcentral's name for it is "partial small subunit ribosomal RNA". The record is from RNAcentral. Lineage: Eukaryota; Viridiplantae; Streptophyta; Magnoliopsida; Poales; Poaceae.
AUGUGGGCGAUUUGGACAGCAAGGAGAAAAGCGAUUUAUGAAGAUAUAUAUCAAUCACCGCAUGCCAUAAAUGGUUUCAUCACGAGCUAUCUGGCCGAAGUUAGUGCAAUCAAUGCAAAACUGCCAAAAGCGAGUCCUGCGGCCAUCCCAAGACUGAACCAGUGGCAAACACCGGUAGCGGGAUGUGUUAAGGUUAAUGUUGAUGCUGCGGUGUCGAGACGAGCUAAGUGUGGUGCUGUUGGGGCAGUAUGCCGUAGUGCGGAUGGGACAUUCUUGGGAGCUUCUGUAAUGGUCCUCAAUUUUAUUGCAGAACCACAGACUUUGGAGGCGAUUGCAAUCAGAGAAGCACUAGAUCUCUCAGAUGAUCUCUAUGAAAGGAGGAUACAUGUGGCCUCGGACUGCAAGGUAGUGGUGGAAGAUUUGAAGAAGGGGACGUCAUCCGUUUAUGGAGCGAUUAUACAGGAGAUAAUACGACACUCCUUGGAUUUUGAUUUUUGUAAUUUUAGCCAUGAAUUUAGGAGCUCGAACUUCGAAGCUCACAACUUAGCUAAGUAUGCUUUAUCUCUCCAGGGUGGCCGCCAUGUUUGGUUAGAACUGCCUGGAGACCUUACUUUCGUCCCUGUAAACAUUAUGACGGAUUAA